This 590-nucleotide long non-coding RNA is filed under the name Malus domestica (apple). Its description in RNAcentral is "long non-coding RNA (MDOM_LNC004367)". Lineage: Eukaryota; Viridiplantae; Streptophyta; Magnoliopsida; Rosales; Rosaceae. The record is from RNAcentral.
GUUUAUUCAUGUCUACUAUCCAAUGUGAUUCGUGUGCUUAUAUGAUUACCUUGAAUGCGAUUUGGAACGAAUUUCCUAAAUCUCAUUCAUACUCUGGCCAGAGAUUCUAAAUCAUAUCAUAGAGUAUUCUCCCCCAAACGGUUUGAAGGUUAGAGAUCCCUUGUUGCGCAUUCACUUGCCUCCAUAGCUAAGUGGCUUAACCCUAACGAUGCCGUGGACACCCGCGGAUGGGGUGACUUUGACAUAAUCAAAGAUCAAGGACUUAACCACAAGACAAACGUGAUGCCUCUGGUCAAAGGAUUACUUUGCAUUAUCCCAACCAUGAGUUCUCAUGUGACAUGAAUAUGAGAACUCUUCGUUGAUCGUGUUCAGUGAACUCAUUCUCUAUUGAGCACCGACGUACUUGUCUUGAUGUCACACACACCAAUGACUCGAGAGUAGUCACUCUCCCUGAGAGAAUACACAGCACGUACUGAUCUUAACGGACUGUCAAUGCCCAAUUGGCAAUCCUAUGAUCAUGAACGUUUAGGAUGUGUCUACGAAAGAAUGGUCUCAUGAAUCUAACUUCUUUAGAUCGCAUUCUCCCAAUC